GAGUUUGAUCAUGGCUCAGAUUGAACGCUGGCGGCAGGCUUAACACAUGCAAGUCGAACGGUAACAGAACUAGCUUGCUAGUUGCUGACGAGUGGCGGACGGGUGAGUAACGCGUAGGAAUCUACCGAGUAGUGGGGGACAACAGUUGGAAACGACUGCUAAUACCGCAUAAUCCCUGAGGGGGAAAGGAGGGGAUCUGUUUACAGACCUUUCGCUAUUUGAUGAGCCUGCGUGAGAUUAGCUAGUUGGUGAGGUAAUGGCUCACCAAGGCGACGAUCUCUAGCUGGUCUGAGAGGAUGAUCAGCCACACUGGAACUGAGACACGGUCCAGACUCCUACGGGAGGCAGCAGUGGGGAAUAUUGCACAAUGGGGGAAACCCUGAUGCAGCCAUGCCGCGUGUGUGAAGAAGGCCUUCGGGUUGUAAAGCACUUUCAGCGAGGAGGAAAGGAGUAUGUUUAAU
Molecule: ribosomal RNA, 461 nt
Filed under: uncultured Gammaproteobacteria bacterium
Lineage: Bacteria; Pseudomonadati; Pseudomonadota; Gammaproteobacteria
Description: bacterial SSU rRNA
Rfam family: Bacterial small subunit ribosomal RNA
Source: RNAcentral